RNAcentral lists this ribosomal RNA (256 nucleotides) under uncultured bacterium. Its description in RNAcentral is "partial 16S ribosomal RNA". It matches the Rfam family "Bacterial small subunit ribosomal RNA", at positions 524 to 776 of the family's 1533-position model. The record is from RNAcentral.
UACGUAGGGUGCAAGCGUUAUCCGGAAUUAUUGGGCGUAAAGAGCUCGUAGGCGGUUUGUCGCGUCUGCUGUGAAAACCCGGAGCUCAACUCCGGGCCUGCAGUCGAGUACGGGCAGACUGGAGUUCGGCAGGGGAGACUGGGAAUUCCUGGUGUAGUGGUGAAAUGCGUGAGAGAUCGGGAGGAACACCUGUGGCGAAGGCGGCUCGCUGGGCCGGUCCUGACGCUGAGACGCGAAGGCGUGGGGAGCGAACGGG